ACUCCUACGGGAGGCAGCAGUGGGAAUAUUGCACAAUGGGAAGCCCAUCGAUGCAGCCAUGCCGCGCUGUGUGAAGAAGGCCAAUUUUGGGGCUUUUGGUUAAAGACACUUUCAGUAGGGAGGAAGGUAGUGUAGUUAACACCUGCAUUAUUUGACGUUACCUACAGAAGAAGCACCGGCUAACUCCGUGCCAGCAGCCGCGGUAAUACGGAUGGUGCGAGCGUUAAUCGGAAUUACUGGGCGUAAAGCGCAUGCAGGCGGCCUGUUAAGUCAGAUGUGAAAGCCCGGGCUUAAGCCU
This 298-nucleotide ribosomal RNA is filed under the name uncultured bacterium. RNAcentral describes it as "partial 16S ribosomal RNA". It matches the Rfam family "Bacterial small subunit ribosomal RNA", at positions 335 to 616 of the family's 1533-position model. The record is from RNAcentral.